AUUGAACGCUGUCAGCCGGCCUAACACAUGCAAGUCGAGCGAGCGGCGGACGGGUGAGUAAUUUCUGGGAAACUGCCUGAUGGAGGGGGAUAACUACUGGAAACGGUAGCUAAUACCGCAUACCCUCAGAUGUGCCCAGAUUGGAGUGGCUAGUAGGUGGGGUAAUGGCUCACCUAGGCGACGAUCCCUAGCUGGUCUGAGCGGAUGACCAGCCACAGUGGAACUGAGACACGGUCCAUACUCGUACGGGAGGCAGCAGUGGGGAAGAUUGCACAAUGGGCGCAAGCCUGAUGCAGCCAUGCCGCGGGUGUGAAUAAGGCCUUCGGGUUGUAAAGCACUUUCAGCGGGGAGGCGUUACCCGCAGAAGAAGCACCGGCUAACUCCGUGCCAGCAGCCGCGGUAAUAC
Molecule: ribosomal RNA, 406 nt
Filed under: uncultured bacterium
Lineage: Bacteria
Description: partial 16S ribosomal RNA
Rfam family: Bacterial small subunit ribosomal RNA
Source: RNAcentral